GAUGAACGCUGGCGGAAUGCUUUACACAUGCAAGUCGAACGGUAGAGGGGGCAACCCCUCGAGAGUGGCGAACGGGUGAGUAAUAUAUCGGAACGUGCCCAGUCGUGGGGGAUAACGUAGCGAAAGUUACGCUAAUACCGCAUACGAUCUAAGGAUGAAAGCGGGGGAUCGCAAGACCUCGCGCGAUUGGAGCGGCCGAUAUCAGAUUAGGUAGUUGGUGGGGUAAAGGCUCACCAAGCCAACGAUCUGUAGCUGGUCUGAGAGGACGACCAGCCACACUGGAACUGAGACACGGUCCAGACUCCUACGGGAGGCAGCAGUGGGGAAUUUUGGACAAUGGACGCAAGUCUGAUCCAGCCAUUCCGCGUGCAGGAUGAAGGCCCUCGGGUUGUAAACUGCUUUUGUACGGAACGAAAAGGUCUCUCUUAAUACGGGGGGCUCAUGACGGUACCGUAAGAAUAAGCACCGGCUAACUACGUGCCAGCCGCCGCAGUAA
This 496-nucleotide ribosomal RNA is filed under the name uncultured bacterium. RNAcentral describes it as "partial 16S ribosomal RNA". It matches the Rfam family "Bacterial small subunit ribosomal RNA", at positions 28 to 523 of the family's 1533-position model. The record is from RNAcentral.